CAAUAGCGUAUAUUAAAGUUGUUGCAGUUAAAAAGCUCGUAGUUGAAUUUCUGUCAGGAGUGACCGGGCCUUUGGAUGAACUUCCAUUGUUUUUUGCUUUGUUUGUCAUCUCUAGACAUCCUGAAAUAUUUUUUAAAAAUAUUUCUCUUUUACUGUUAGCAAAAUAGAGUGUUCCAAGCAAAGCGUAGUUUUGAAUACAUUAGAAUGGAAUAAUAAGAUAGGACUUUGGUGCUAUUUUGUUGGUUUGCACACCAAGGUAAUGAUUAAUAGGGACAGUUGGGGGUAUUCGUAUUUAAUUGUCAGAGGUGAAAUUCUUGGAUUUAUGAAAGACGAACUACUGCGAAAGCAUUUACCAAGGAUGUUUUCAUUAA
This 371-nucleotide ribosomal RNA is filed under the name uncultured eukaryote. RNAcentral's name for it is "partial 18S ribosomal RNA". It matches the Rfam family "Eukaryotic small subunit ribosomal RNA", at positions 592 to 976 of the family's 1831-position model. The record is from RNAcentral.